Long non-coding RNA from Helianthus annuus (common sunflower), 2841 nucleotides. RefSeq lists it as uncharacterized. NCBI's taxonomy places the organism in Eukaryota, Viridiplantae, Streptophyta, Magnoliopsida, Asterales, Asteraceae. The record is from RefSeq and is a predicted model, not a curated record. The transcript is spliced from 6 exons.
GUCCUACAAAUAUGGGUAGUGCUCUCAGUUCAGUUGAGAAGUAAUGUUACUCAAAUAAAAUUGUAAUAUUGGCAGUAGUUCAGGGAGGUUUAACUCUCUCUCUCUCUUACAAUGAGGAGGUUACAAGCAGUUUUGGGUUUGAUUUCUCCCACGUCCCUUCCCCACGUUUAUUGUAACUUCCUACCCUUCCUUUUAAUAGGGAUCUCAAACCUACAUUUUUGCCCAUUCUCCUUCAUCGCUAUCGCUCUGUAUCAAUCCAUUGCGCUUUGAAAAGUAAAAGUGAAGCAUCGAUUUCAUGGCAACACCGAUUCCAAGCAUUUGUGUGUGUGUAAUUUCCGGUUAAACUCAAGAACCAACCAAGGGUUUGUUGUUUGAUCAGGAUUGAGAUGGCGAGUUCAGUAGAGGCUGCCGGAGAACCUGUUCCGACGUCGACGGUGCUAAUGUCGGCGUCGAAGCACAUCGCCGUUAGAUGCAGAGUCAAAUUCAGUCAUGCUAGGAGUCUCCUUACAGCGAUACAGCCUCCUAAGCUCUGCUGGAAAGGUUUUUGAUGCUAUCAAUUUGCAAUCCGCAAGGCGUUGUGAUAUGAUGUGGGGUUGAGAUAUAUACGCAUCUUAAUCGAUCAAUGCUCAUUUGUUCUGUUUUCAAAGAAAGAAGAAAAAGGUCGAAGAGAAAGAAGAGUCGGAUGAUACACUUAUAUUUGAAGAAGUAUCUGUGGUGUCAAAGAAUCAGACUCUUAAAGAUGCACUCAAUGAUGAAGAACUCAAACAGGGUAGAAGAAUGGAUCUUGUGUACAGUGAAACUGCUGGAGUAGAAGGUCAACUAUGGAUGUUAUUGCCCAUACUUUUUGUCUGGAUGGAUUUUGAAGCAUAUGUGGGUGUGCUAUUGCUACAAAUUGCAGUUGUUGGUGUUAGUCUGAAUAGCAGGUAAGACACUACAAAUUUAUAACAUAUUGUAGAGGUAGAAUGGCCCACUUUCAUGUGGGCCGUUUUGGGGGAUGUUUAAUCUCAAAUGUGGUCAAAUGGAUUUACAAAAUAUUAGGUAAAAGCUAAACGGGUCAAUGGGAUUGAAAGUCACCAAAUGUCUAGAAUAAUUGUAGUUUUUUUUGAAUACUCUAGGUAAUAAAGUUAUAUAAAAGUUACAUAUGUUGUGGAAAAGAGUGGAACUAAAUUUGAUGUAACUUGCCCAAAUUAGAGAGAAAAACGUUUUCAAGGUAGUCAUAUAAAGGGUCUGCUUUACUCUUAGAAAUCUCUAAUUUUUUUUUUCUACUUGGUUUUUAGGAAGGGUUUUUUUUUUGGGGAGGGGGUUUUUUGGAUUUUUUUUAAAUCUUAAGUCAAAUGUUUGGGUUCAUCAAAUCUGUUUAAAAAUGGCAAGAUCCAACGGGAUUUAUAUGUUACAAGAUUGAUUACUGAAUGGGAAUAAUGUAUUUGAUCUGCACGACACUUACAAGCUUAAUGAAGAGAAUUUGCAAGUGGGAGCUGGCUUUGAAAGACUGUGGAGAAAGCUUUCAUUGCAAAACAAUUGCUCACAUGGUGGAGUAAUAAGAAAAGCAGGUAUGGGCGAUCAACUAAUAAUUAGAAAGUCAAAGGGUGUGAGUUGAAAGAUAAUAAAGGGUUCCUAAGUUAAGCUCGAGAUAUGUUAAUAUGGGAAGGUCAAUAUGUGAUAAGUCUGUAUGAGAUAUAUGUUUUGGUUACGAAUAUGUGGUUUAGGCCCCUUCAAACACACACAAUUUACUAAACUUUUUGUAUAUUGACCUUCAAAAUGAUUUGCACGAGAGAGAUGAUAAAAAUCAACCUGAUAGUGCUACUAUUUAUAGCCUACAGAGUCGAGGCAGAGGAGGAUUACGGUAAUAUGUAUUCUCUUGUAUAUAUCCAUCUUAUUUGAUUGAUAGCUACCCACACAUGGUUGUGAUGGGAGUUGGACUGGCAUUUGGAUUCCUCAUGGUAAUAUUAUAGUUAUCUUUUAUAUUUUCUAUAUUUCAGUUUAUUCUUUGUGCUUACAAAUACUAAAUGAUCUCAGUUUUUACAAGUUUUGACAUCGCCAAAUUAUUACAAUUUUACACCAGAUAUUAGAAAUUAAACUUUUUAUGAUGCGUAAAAGAUAAAUGAUGACUUACUUUAAAAGCUUCAAGUUAACCUUACACCGACACUUCCCUUUGUUAGUUUGUUAUGUUCAGUUAUGUCAAAAGCUAGAAAACUAACCAUCCUAGAGGUGGCCUUGUAUAUACCAUUUACUUAUAGACAUGUCUGUUAAUUCUAUGGGUCAUGUUUCAUCUCUAGCACCAAAUGGGUUAAACAGGUUGAAAGUCACAUGUCAAAUGUUUAAUUCGUUUUAUAAAAAAUAAAUUAUUGUUGAGUAAUAAUCUUUAGCAUACAUGUCAUAAACUGUAUAUCUUUCUGUUUUAAUUCCCCAAAACCUGUUUUGGGCAAUUGUGCUAAUGCAGUUUAACCCAUAUAGAAAAUUACCCGGCGGGUUAUAAGCCCUGAAUUUAUGUUAAUGAUGUUUGAUUGAUUUUGUAGGCGAAAAGGGUUCGAAGUAGGUUGAAACUUUGAUAUGUUAAACAUUAAAGAGUCCAAUGAGAAUGGGGAUAAGAGACAAUUCUAGGAGCCGCCAGCAUCAAGAACAACAAUACGACCAUCGCAAGCUGACAAAGUUUCCUAAAUUCACAGUCAGUUGGGAGUUUUUCAAAAGAAGAGAGAAAUUGACACUUCCUUAAAUUCACAUACUCAGUUGGGAGUUUAUCAAAAGAAGAGAGACAUAGACAUGAGAAGUAUGUAAUUCAUGUUGAUACACAUUGUUGAAUGGAGCCCUUUCUAUGCCAAUUUUCAACAUUUGAUUUUCUUU